This 465-nucleotide ribosomal RNA is filed under the name uncultured bacterium. RNAcentral's name for it is "partial 16S ribosomal RNA". It matches the Rfam family "Bacterial small subunit ribosomal RNA", at positions 28 to 507 of the family's 1533-position model. The record is from RNAcentral.
GACGAACGCUGGCGGCGUGCUUAACACAUGCAAGUCGUACGGUAAGGCCCUUUCGGGGGUACACGAGUGGCGAACGGGUGAGUAACACGUGAGUAACCUGCCCACAACUUUGGGAUAACGCUAGGAAACUGGUGCUAAUACUGGAUAUGUGCCCCUGCUGCAUGGUGGGGGUUGGAAAGCUCCGGCGGUUGUGGGUGGACUCGCGGGCUAUCAGCUUGUUGGUGGGGUAGUGGCCUACCAAGGCGGCGACGGGUAGCCGGCCUGAGGGGGUGACCGGCCACAUUGGGACUGAGAUACGGCCCAGACUCCUACGGGAGGCAGCAGUGGGGAAUAUUGCACAAUGGGCGCAAGCCUGAUGCAGCAACGCCGCGGGCGGGAGGACGGCCUUCGGGUUGUAAACCGCUUUCAGCAGGGACGAAGCUUUGUGUGACGGUACCUGCAGAAGAAGCACCGGCUAACUACGUG